AUUGGAAUGUGCUAAUAUGCUAAAAAAUUGGAAUGAUACAGAGAAGAUUAGCAUGGCCACUGUGCAAGGAUGACAUGCAAAA
Molecule: small nuclear RNA, 82 nt
Organism: Cercocebus atys (sooty mangabey)
Lineage: Eukaryota; Metazoa; Chordata; Mammalia; Primates; Cercopithecidae
Source: Ensembl